RNAcentral lists this ribosomal RNA (547 nucleotides) under uncultured bacterium. RNAcentral's name for it is "bacterial SSU rRNA". It matches the Rfam family "Bacterial small subunit ribosomal RNA", at positions 355 to 896 of the family's 1533-position model. The record is from RNAcentral.
UGGGGAAUAUUGCGCAAUGGGGGGAACCCUGACGCAGCCAUGCCGCGUGAAUGAAGAAGGCCUUCGGGUUGUAAAGUUCUUUCGGUAUUGAGGAAGGUUGAUGUGUUAAUAGUACAUCAAAUUGACGUUAAAUACAGAAGAAGCACCGGCUAACUCCGUGCCAGCAGCCGCGGUAAUACGGAGGGUGCGAGCGUUAAUCGGAAUAACUGGGCGUAAAGGGCACGCAGGCGGUUAUUUAAGUGAGGUGUGAAAGCCUCGGGCUUAACCUGGGAAUAGCAUUUCAGACUGGGUAACUAGAGUACUUUAGGGAGGGGUAGAAUUCCACGUGUAGCGGUGAAAUGCGUAGAGAUGUGGAGGAAUACCGAAGGCGAAGGCAGCCCCUUGGGAAUGUACUGACGCUCAUGUGCGAAAGCGUGGGGAGCAAACAGGAUUAGAUACCCUGGUAGUCCACGCUGUAAACGCUGUCGAUUUGGGGGUUGGGGUUUAACUCUGGCGCCCGUAGCUAACGUGAUAAAUCGACCGCCUGGGGAGUACGGCCGCAAGGUUA